RNAcentral lists this ribosomal RNA (468 nucleotides) under uncultured bacterium. RNAcentral describes it as "partial 16S ribosomal RNA". It matches the Rfam family "Bacterial small subunit ribosomal RNA", at positions 28 to 507 of the family's 1533-position model. The record is from RNAcentral.
GACGAACGCUGGCGGCGUGCUUAACACAUGCAAGUCGAACGGAAAGGCCCUGCUUUUGUUGGGUGCUCGAGUGGCGAACGGGUGAGUAACACGUGAGUAACCUGCCCUUGACUUUGGGAUAACUUCAGGAAGCUGGGUCUAAUACCGGAUAGGAGCUCCUGCUGCAUGGUGGGUGUUGGAAAGUUUCGGCGGUGGGGGAUGGACUCGCGGCUUAUCAGCUUGUUGGUGGGGUAGUGGCUUACCAAGGCUUUGACGGGUAGCCGGCCUGAGAGGGUGACCGGCCAAAAUGGGAAUGAGAUCACGCCCAGAAUCCUAAGGGAGGCAGCAGUGGGGAAUAUUGCAAAAUGGGCGGAAGCGUGAUGCAGAAAAGCCGCGUGCGGGAUGACGGGCUUCGCGUUGUAAACCGCUUUCGCCUGUGACGAAGAGGGAGUGACGGUAAUGGGUAAAGAAGCAACGGCUAACUACGUG